Molecule: long non-coding RNA, 2635 nt
Organism: Syngnathus typhle (broad-nosed pipefish)
Lineage: Eukaryota; Metazoa; Chordata; Actinopteri; Syngnathiformes; Syngnathidae
Exons: 2
Source: RefSeq, a predicted model, not a curated record
GUGGGGCUAUGAUGCAUUCCUAAAUGCAACUCCACUCCAUGGUAAAGUCAGUCCUCUGAACAAGAGACCCCUGUGCUGCUUGUCUAAGGACCAUUUUACUUGUUGCAUCCGCCACAAACAUCCGUUCUCCUACAACGUCACUCUGCACCUCUUGAAAGGUUGGCACUGACGAGAGGAAGGUAGUGGAAAACAGUCGGCUUUGGAGUACUUAACCCAAAUGAAUAGAUCUUGCAAAAACUCACACAAGUCAUUACAAACAGGAAAGGCUGCAAUACCGUUCGACACAAAACCGACAUCACCACUUUGGAAACUUUCCAUGUUGAUUUAGACCUAAUCAUAAGGUCAUUUUAGCUAACGUAUGAAGUCUGACGGGAAUUACCCACACUGAGCCCACUGUAAAUCAUGUAAUUCAAGUCUCGCCCCUUAAGAGCCUAAUAAAAAAGGCAUGAAAACAUAUGGCACUGUGCCAUAUUUAAAGAACCCCAAAUGUUGGCAACACGCAUGGAAGACAAGUAGAGGCGAGUUAAAGAUAGAUAAACGGUGCAGACGGCCGGACUUGAGCAUAAUUAAACUCUUAGACACCCCUGCGGCAUGUUUAUGAGCCCCCCCUCCUAAUGGGAUGUCUUUCUGCAGCCUCGGGUGAAGCCUAGGCUCGAAAGCUUUACUUGUGGGAGGACUGUUGAUGUCAUGUGGACACAUCGUAAAAAAAGAACAUCUGUGCAGCUCAAUGAAGCUGCUCAGGCCACUUUGUCAAUGCACCCCCACCACCAAUCACGUGCGGCCAUCCAUCACAGACUCCCUGCGUGGGUGUGUCCCCCCCCGCAGGAAAUGAUUGGAAUUAUGUUGUGACCAACAACCACCCAACAAGUGGAAAAGACAUCACGUAGCAUCGAUAAAACCUGCAAUGAAUUAGAUCUUCUGUGAGUAUGCCGUUUUGGAUUAGUGAUGCGGGGAGUCACCAGCUGAGUUUGUUUAGGGAAGAAAACUCCCAACAGGCCGUGGUACGUCAGUCACAACAUCAACAGCAUUUAUGAUUUUUUUUCAUAGUUCCCACAUGAUAGUUCGCCACUAAAUUUGGUCAAUCCAAAAGAACAUUUGAACAAACUCAAAUGUCACAUAUGUGCAAUACACUACAGUAAGUUGGCGAUGUUUCAGAAAAGUUCCAGGACUAGCAUCACAGAAGAUACAUUUCAAACCCAAACUAUGAGUUUUCCCCUUUCGAGUGGGCUUCUGGAAUCAACCGGGACAUCGACAGUGACAUGCUGCAGCGUUUGCUUGAUUGAAUGUAUGAGAAAAGGCAAGAGAAUAUUGCAGGACAACUUGUGGCUGCUUCACCAUGGCAACACGCUUGCUCACAAUGCACGAGACAGGCCGAGAAGAACAUUGGCGUGCUGAAGCACAAUGUCCCAUCACUGAUGAGCUAUUUAUAGAAUAUGCCUACGAGCUACUCAGGUGGUCCCUGUGGGCUACCUGGUUCCCACAGACAGCGAGAUGCUCCCUGUGGCAAACCCACCGCAAUCAACAUUAUGGGAAUUAUGAACACUGGCAACGUAUUUGUUGGACUUGUUUUCAUUCCAUACCAAAUCUAGACAAGCUCAACAACCAAAAUAAAGAUAACCACAAGGAACAGUCAGCUGUGAGAAUUGCAUUAGUGAUUAAACUCUUUCACAAUAACAUCAAUUGCUAUCACAGCAGAUGUUGUGUACACUUCACCUUAUCUUGUCACUAAAGACUUAGUCGACAAAACGUGCAUUUUGGUGUUGGUAUAGUCAUCGUGAUACUUUAUGUACAUUUGACCUCAUACCAUCUGCUCACACACGAGCCCUCCCUCUGAGUGGAAUAAAGAAGGUGUGUUGUAGGUGUUCGUUCACCUCCCAUCCUCCCCCACUCCUACAAGUGCACAUCCCAUCCAUGUUUCCAAUGAAAGGCUGCUCUUGUUUCUUAAUGCACCUGCUCCAGUGUAUUCAGAACACGGCCCGCUUGUCUCCAUCAUUUACUGCCACAAGUCAUGCAUUUUUGUUUUUUAGAUGUCUGUACUACACCCCCUUUCAAAUUACACUGCACUUGCGUCAUUUUUUUAUACACUCACUGUUCUUUGUCUUAAAUUGCAUUGCCUUAAAAAUAAUUUAUUUUGAACUACUAUAGAAAACUCAAGAAUUGAACUGCUUAAUAGGACUAUUUCUGCUGUGAGAAUGGAAGUAAAACACUGGCAUUGAUCUGUUGUGUGUGUCGUAGUAGAAUAGAACGCACGCAUAUUGCUUCGAGAUUCGCUUUCUUGCAAGUUAGAACUUGUUUGGAGAUGACUGUUGUUGUUUUUUUAACCAUUUGCUGCAGUAGUCUGUCAGUUCCUUACUUUCCCCUCACACCACAAGCUGGACACUUAAAGUGGAUUUUAUUCUUCUACCCGAAAACAGACCCACAGAAGCAAAACAUCAAGCAGCAAAACCUCAUGUUUAUAACACAGGGAUGCUCUGCGGUGCUGUGACGCGGCGGCCCGAAGAUCCGCUGGCUUGAUCCAAACGCGAGAAGCUGGGAGGCAACGAACGUGUUUGGGAGAAGAAGGGGGGAGGUGGAGGAGCGCGACGUUAGCUCAACAUGUGUCCCGAUUUGGUAUUAAACUGCUUCCCUGUCCCCA